This 2390-nucleotide unclassified non-coding RNA is filed under the name Leishmania donovani. RNAcentral describes it as "gene:LdHU3.25.1750(CDS-product:TAP42-like_family_ putative)". Lineage: Eukaryota; Euglenozoa; Kinetoplastea; Trypanosomatida; Trypanosomatidae. The record is from RNAcentral.
CAUCACAUCAGCAGACGUGCAGGACAAGAGAAAAAGGAUACGGGGCUCGGAGCCGCUUGCCGACGGAACGAAGGCGGACGUGAUUGCGUGUGUAUGCCCGCGUGUCUUGUGAUUGUUGAAAGGCAAAGCUUCUCGCGUUUCCUCUCGGUUGCUCUUUCGUUCUCAUCGAAGGGGUCGGCAGCAGUGCGCAGCCCCCCCCCCCCCCCCCCACCGCUAGUGGAAGCAGAAAGGCAUUGCAGCCACCCGCCAUUGCCACUUCGGGCCACACGAUUGAGGCGCAAUGUCGAACAGCACGGAUGCAGCGCGUGACUUCGUCACCGUCAAGGGACACUUCAACAGCCUCUGCGACACCUACAUUGCUGAAGUUGUCAACUCCUCUCUCGCCAGCACAGAUGCCACACUCAACGCGCAGAUACGCUCGUUGGUGGCGGAGUUUGAGUUAUUCUGGCGCCACCUCUCCGCCGUUGGAGCUUUUUCACCAAACGAUGAGAUAGACGACUACUCGACCACAGCGCUGGAGAUGCUGUGGACGCCGUAUAUUCUGGCGGACCUCUUCCAGCGCGUCCAGGGCCCCAUGAAACGCGCCCAGGAUAGCCGCGCCGGGAACGAUGGUGACAGCAGCAACGGCACCGCACAGCAGCAAGCGUGCUCGGCGGACGAGCGCAUGCGGGGCGAGGACGUGCUUCGUCCCAGCGAGCAGGACAGCGGUGUGCAACAGAUGGAAACGGUCGCGCAUUCCGCGGCCAAUCUGACCUCUCGCUCCCUUCGAGAGGAGGAGCUGCGGUCUUUGUCGCGGCAAGAGGCGCUUGCCCGCUCUCACGCGUGGCUCAAGGUCUUCUUUGAGUGGAUGGAGAAUAUCGAGCUUGUCGACAAGAAGACCCUGGACACGCACGCCGUGUACCGUGCCGACCAACGGUCGCAGCGCGUUGAGCUCUCUCGCACCAUCGCAUCCCUUAGGGCGGCACUAAAGGCCGAGGAGGACAAGGUGGGCUACCUCCGCGCGAAGCGGCGCCGCAUGCGGGAGCUGAUGGCCGAGGAGGGCGAGGCGGCAGAGGAAACGGGAGGCGAGGAGGAGGAGACGCUGCGCGCGCGUGCGUUGGCGCGGCUGAAGUGGUCUAUCUACGAAGGUUGCCACCAGCUUCAAAUAUCGUCUCGUGAGCUCAGCAUGCUCGAGGCGUUAAACCCAGAGCAGCGGGCUGCCAUCUCGAAGCAGUACCAGGACACGAUGGACUCCGUGCGCCGAGGAGAGCUAUCGCUGGGGCGGCACACCUACACGAUUCUGCCGGGCGGCAUGAUGGCGGCCGGGACAGUCGAUCACCCGCGGCAGGUGCGCACCAGCGACAUUGUGCAGUCAGGCGGCGUCACAGCACCUGCAGCGACCGCGACGGCUGCCACCUCCUCCUCUCUCGCCAUCCGCGGCAGCAGAAACGCCCAGUUAUACCGUCAGCAGAUCCGGAACGAAUUGAUGAUAGACCGCAACGCACCGACCAUGACGCUGCAGGAGUUCGCCGAACUGGAGAUGGCGGAGAUUCAGCGGCAGGUGGACGAGGCCCAGGCGAAGCAGCAGCGACAGGCUGAGGAGGACGCACACCUUGGUCCGGACGGCGUGGAGGAGCGGCAGCGGCAGAAGGAUAGCGCCUGGGCUGACUGGAAAGACGAUCAUCCAGCCUACGGACUAACAAACAAGGGCAACUACUCCUGAAAACGACUGCGAAAGAGGAAGGGAGGAGGAAGUGCCUUGGGUACUACUCUGCUCCGUUUCUCGCCUUUCACUGCUUUCAUGCCAUCACCCCUUGGACGACUGGCUUGGACACAAAGGAAGGUUGCGGGCUGGGGAUUUCCACGACGGUGACUCCGACUGACUGUUGCGCCAACCCGAUCCCGUUGCUCUGGCAUCCACAAACAUACGUAUAUAUGUACUCGCUCACGAUGAUUGGGAUGCCGCGCGUCUUUCUGCGUGUCGAGUUUGGCCUGCCUUGACGGUCGGCGUCGCUAUUCGUAUUUGUGUUGCAAUGCACGACGAGUGCGCUGCCGCCUUGAUGGUGCACAUACACACAUAUAACCUCGCAUGCACUGAAGAGUAAGUGUUGUCAGGAUUCUAUGGACACAUGCAGGUCUGCGCGAGCAGCCUGAGUAGCGCUAUCUCCGCUUUAUUACGAGGCACCAUCACCUCCCGAACUGCAAAGGGACCGGGAGAGAAGGCUGAAGGAAUGUGUAGGCGCUUCGAUGGACGUAGUUUGUGCCACCAGCAACCCCCUUUCCCACUUUUUUCUCAUGCUCUGAUCAUGUGCUUCCCUCCUAUCGCUUCGUCCCAUGCCGCUCUUUUUAUCGACGCACUCAACUCCCUCCACUACACAAACACGCAUACCACGACAUAAACCACUAUCAAG